This 298-nucleotide ribosomal RNA is filed under the name uncultured bacterium. RNAcentral describes it as "partial 16S ribosomal RNA". The stretch from base 49 to 291 matches the Rfam family "Bacterial small subunit ribosomal RNA", at positions 106 to 347 of the family's 1533-position model. The record is from RNAcentral.
CCGGACCGGACCGGCCGACCGGGUACGGGUAGGUAACGUAACCGUAACGUUAGCGAACCGUAACCGUNGGCCGUGACAGAUGGAUAACCGGGAGAAAUCCCGCCUAAUACAACAUAAUGCCGGGAGGGGACAUCCCCUGCCGGCCAAAGGGGGCGACCCCGGUCACGGAUGGGCAUGCGGCGCAUUAGGUAGUUGGUGGGGCAACGGCCCACCAAGCCGACGAUGCGUAGGGGUUCUGAGAGGAAGGUCCCCCACAUUGGAACUGAGACACGGUCCAAACUCCUACGGGAGGCAGCAG